This 369-nucleotide ribosomal RNA is filed under the name uncultured organism. RNAcentral's name for it is "bacterial SSU rRNA". It matches the Rfam family "Bacterial small subunit ribosomal RNA", at positions 526 to 896 of the family's 1533-position model. The record is from RNAcentral.
CGAAGGUGGCAAGCGUUGUUCGGAUUUACUGGGCGUACAGGGAGCGUAGGCGGUUCGGUAAGCCCUCCGUGAAAUCUCCAGGCUCAACCUGGAAAGUGCAGAGGGGACUGCCGGGCUAGAGGAUGGGAGAGGAGCGCGGAAUUCCCGGUGUAGCGGUGAAAUGCGUAGAGAUCGGGAGGAAGGCCGGUGGCGAAGGCGGCGCUCUGGAACAUUUCUGACGCUGAGGCUCGAAAGCGUGGGGAGCAAACAGGAUUAGAUACCCCUGGUAGUCCACGCCUUAAACGAUGGAUACUAAGUGUCGGCGGGUUACCGCCGGUGCCGCAGCUAACGCAGUAAGUAUCCCGCCUGGGAAGUACGGCCGCAAGGUUG